UGGAUAGCUCAGUUGGUUAGAGCAUGGUACUGAUAAUGCCAAGGUUCGAUCCCAAAUGGGACAG
This 64-nucleotide transfer RNA is filed under the name Podarcis lilfordi (Lilford's wall lizard). RNAcentral describes it as "tRNA.Ile". Lineage: Eukaryota; Metazoa; Chordata; Lepidosauria; Squamata; Lacertidae. The record is from RNAcentral.